This 497-nucleotide ribosomal RNA is filed under the name uncultured bacterium. RNAcentral describes it as "partial 16S ribosomal RNA". It matches the Rfam family "Bacterial small subunit ribosomal RNA", at positions 28 to 507 of the family's 1533-position model. The record is from RNAcentral.
GAUGAACGCUGGCGGCGUGCCUAAUACAUGCAAGUCGAGCGAACAGACGAGGAGCUUUCUCCUCUGACGUUAGCGGCGGACGGGUGAGUAACACGUGGAUAACCUACCUAUAAGACUGGGAUAACUUCGGGAAACCGGAGCUAAUACCGGAUAAUAUAUUGAACCGCAUGGUUCAAUAGUGAAAGACGGUUUUGCUGUCACUUAUAGAUGGAUCCGCGCCGCAUUAGCUAGUUGGUAAGGUAACGGCUUACCAAGGCAACGAUGCGUAGCCGACCUGAGAGGGUGAUCGGCCACACUGGAACUGAGACACGGUCCAGACUCCUACGGGAGGCAGCAGUAGGGAAUCUUCCGCAAUGGGCGAAAGCCUGACGGAGCAACGCCGCGUGAGUGAUGAAGGUCUUCGGAUCGUAAAACUCUGUUAGUAGGGAAGAACAAAUGUGUAAGUAACUAUGCACGUCUUGACGGUACCUAAUCAGAAAGCCACGGCUAACUACGUG